GCGGAGGAAAAGAAACCAACAGGGAUUGCCUCAGUAACGGCGAGUGAAGCGGCAAAAGCUCAAAUUUGAAAUCUAGCACCUUCGGUGUUCGAGUUGUAAUUUGAAGAUGGUAACCUUGGGUUUGGCUCUUGUCUAUGUUCCUUGGAACAGGACGUCAUAGAGGGUGAGAAUCCCGUCUGAUGAGAUGCCCAUUCCUAUGUAAGGUGCUAUCGAAGAGUCGAGUUGUUUGGGAAUGCAGCUCUAAGUGGGUGGUAAAUUCCAUCUAAAGCUAAAUAUUGGCGAGAGACCGAUAGCGAACAAGUACAGUGAUGGAAAGAUGAAAAGAACUUUGAAAAGAGAGUGAAAAAGUACGUGAAAUUGUUGAAAGGGAAGGGCAUUAGAUCAGACUUGGUGUUUUACGAUUAUCUUCUCUUCUUGAGUUGUGCACUCGUAUUUCACUGGGCCAGCAUCGAUUCGGAUGGCAAGAUAAUGGCAGUUGAAUGUGGCUUCACUUCGGUGGAGUGUUAUAGCUUCUGCUGAUAUUGCCUGUCUGGAUCGAGGGCUGCGUCUUUUGACUAGGAUGCUGGCGUAAUGAUCUAAUGCCGCCCGUCUU
Molecule: ribosomal RNA, 592 nt
Filed under: Hansenula anomala
Lineage: Eukaryota; Fungi; Ascomycota; Saccharomycetes; Phaffomycetales; Wickerhamomycetaceae
Description: eukaryotic LSU rRNA
Rfam family: Eukaryotic large subunit ribosomal RNA
Source: RNAcentral